Molecule: ribosomal RNA, 94 nt
Filed under: Sarmentypnum exannulatum
Lineage: Eukaryota; Viridiplantae; Streptophyta; Bryopsida; Hypnales; Amblystegiaceae
Description: partial 5.8S ribosomal RNA
Rfam family: 5.8S ribosomal RNA
About the family: 5.8S ribosomal RNA (5.8S rRNA) is a component of the large subunit of the eukaryotic ribosome. It is transcribed by RNA polymerase I as part of the 45S precursor that also contains 18S and 28S rRNA.
Source: RNAcentral
AAACAACUCUCAGCAACGGAUAUCUUGGCUCUUGCAACGAUGAAGAACGCAGCGAAAUGCGAUACGUAGUGUGAAUUGCAGAAUUCCGCGAAUC